ACGGAAGGCAGCAGUAGGGAAUAUUGCACAAUGGGGGGAACCCUGAUGCAGCAACGCCACGUGUGGGAAGAAGCAUUUCGGUGUGUAAACCACUGUCGUGAGGGAAUAAUGCUUGGCUCCGGCCAAGUUGAAUGUACCUCGAAAGGAAGCACCGGCAAACUUCGUGCCAGCAGCCGCGGUAAUACGAGGGGUGCAAGCGUUGUUCGGAAUCACUGGGCGUAAAGGGAGCGUAGGCGGAGACGCAAGCGGUCUGUACAAUACCGGGGCCCAACCCCGGACCUGCAGACCGGACUGCAUUUCUUGGAUAGUUCAGGGGCAAGCGGAAUUCCUGGUGUAGCGGUGGAAUGCGUAGAGAUCAGGAAGAACACCGAUGGCGAAGGCAGCUUGCUGGGGACUUAUCGACGCUCAUGCACGAAAGUGCGGGUAGCAAACAGGAUUAGAUACCCUGGUA
Molecule: ribosomal RNA, 451 nt
Filed under: uncultured Fibrobacter sp.
Lineage: Bacteria; Pseudomonadati; Fibrobacterota; Fibrobacteria; Fibrobacterales; Fibrobacteraceae
Description: partial 16S ribosomal RNA
Rfam family: Bacterial small subunit ribosomal RNA
Source: RNAcentral